AGCUUUGCACAAUGGCAGUAUCGUAGCCAAUGAGGUUUAUCCGAGGCGCGAUUAUUGCUAAUUGAAAACUUUUCCCAAUACCCCGCGGUGAUGACUUGCAAUAGUGAGCACUGGUAAUUUUUGACAGUCUCUAUGGAGA
Molecule: small nuclear RNA, 139 nt
Organism: Callithrix jacchus (white-tufted-ear marmoset)
Lineage: Eukaryota; Metazoa; Chordata; Mammalia; Primates; Cebidae
Gene: U4
Rfam family: U4 spliceosomal RNA
About the family: U4 small nuclear RNA (U4 snRNA) is a component of the major U2-dependent spliceosome.
Source: Ensembl